Molecule: long non-coding RNA, 204 nt
Filed under: Panax ginseng (ginseng)
Lineage: Eukaryota; Viridiplantae; Streptophyta; Magnoliopsida; Apiales; Araliaceae
Description: long non-coding RNA (PGIN_LNC000813)
Source: RNAcentral
CUAGUCAGACCUUUGGCAUCCAUUCGUUGAGGGGUUAAAACAUUUCAUAUAAUCAUGUGUCAUGAAUGUACCAUAUGUAUGAGUUAUAAGAACUCGUACUUAACCUUAUAUUCGCUAACUAUAUUCUAUCUAUCUGUUAUACACACGAGAAAAGAAUCACCUUCUCAACACGUAUAUAGCAAACAACGCGACACAAACAUCCCC